RNAcentral lists this small RNA (106 nucleotides) under Arabidopsis thaliana (thale cress). Its description in RNAcentral is "ATSL270850". Lineage: Eukaryota; Viridiplantae; Streptophyta; Magnoliopsida; Brassicales; Brassicaceae. The record is from RNAcentral.
AAUAUUGAGUAUAAGAGCUUAAACCGCAACUGGACCUUAAAAGCUUAAGUAGUGUUUCCUUAUUAGAAGAUACAAAGCCAAAGACUCAUACGUAGUUUAUUAUAAC